UACGGAGGGUGCAAACGUUAUUCGGAAUUACUGGGCUUAAAGAGUUCGUAGGCGGCAUGAAAAGUAGGGUGUGAAAGCCCUCGGCUCAACCGAGGAAUUGCGCUCUAAACUGUCGUGCUCGAGGAACCUAGAGGUGAGCAGAACAGAUGGUGGAGCGGUGAAAUGCGUUGAUAUCAUCUGGAAUACCGGAGGCGAAGGCGGCUCACUGGGGGUUUUCUGACGCUGAGGAACGAAAGCCAGGGUAGCGAACGGG
RNAcentral lists this ribosomal RNA (253 nucleotides) under uncultured bacterium. RNAcentral describes it as "partial 16S ribosomal RNA". It matches the Rfam family "Bacterial small subunit ribosomal RNA", at positions 524 to 776 of the family's 1533-position model. The record is from RNAcentral.